RNAcentral lists this transfer RNA (415 nucleotides) under uncultured marine alpha proteobacterium. Its description in RNAcentral is "16S-23S intergenic spacer region". The stretch from base 100 to 173 matches the Rfam family "tRNA". The record is from RNAcentral. Lineage: Bacteria; Pseudomonadati; Pseudomonadota; Alphaproteobacteria.
UCUAAGGAUGAGUGAAAGUAAAAUUUCACUCUAAAUAAUAUACAUCGGUAAUGUUGACCGUCCUCAUUUCUCUUCUUAAAGUAAUGUUUCCUUCUUGUAGGGCCGGUAGCUCAGUUGGUUAGAGCACACCCUUGAUAAGGGUGGGGUCGAAAGUUCGAGUCUUUCUCGGCCCACCAAAAACCUAAAUGGGGGAUUAGCUCAUCUGGGAGAGCGCCUGAUUUGCAUUCAGGAGGUAGCAGGUUCGAUCCCUGUAUCCUCCACCAGGACACAUUUAGUUAUUAAAACUGUAAAUAAGAAUCAUUUAUAUCAAUAUCUAUAUCCGAACAUUAAAAGUUAUUAUUUAAUGUUCAAAAUAAAAAUUUGAUCACAACAUAGAUAAAUUUUCUGUUAAAGGAAUUUUUUUCUGUGCAUAAAU